GUCUCCCCGCCCCACGCCCCUCAGACCCCCGGAUUCUGCGAGCCAAAAGUCGGCCUCGGGGUCUUAGGGGCGCGGAAGCCCUCGACUAGGAGGGUCCUGCCGGAUCUCCGAGGGGUCUGGAGGAGGCCCCCCCCCCGUGCUGGGGAAGAUGGUGCGUCCCGCUCGGUCGCGGUCACGUGGGCGCCUCCUCUGUGACGUCGGCCGCUUCAAUGUAGCAAAGCUCGGCCUCUGGAAUUCUGAGAACUAAUUUGCUAUUCAGUGACAUAAGAGGGGGGAGCGUGCGCCGCCUGCCCGGGGUCUGGGGCUCCUUCACUGUCUCGCGCCCAUAAACACCACCACCACCUCCACGAGCUCAGGGCACCAAAUGGGGGGCAGGGGCUCUGAGCCCCCGGAGGAAGCCCGCCUGCCCAGAUGUAGGUUAGGCAGCUCGAGCCAAACAAUAAACACGCAUCCAGGGCACGGGGAGAGAGGACACAGCAGAGAGGGAGAGCUUUCCAGCUAGACUCUCAGCACAUUGGCCAAGCCGUGUUUGGAAUGGAAAAGAGCCCUGUGGUCUCUGAAGUAAACACUCCUGUUUCAAACAGCCAUAGGAACACAGAUUCUGUUGACAAAGGUGAUCUGCACCCCUCUCCUCACCAUCUCCCCCCACUCCCACCCCCAAGCCCUUGCAAGGCCUGAAUGCAGACAUUGGCCAUUCUGUUCUGUGGCAAUUCCUUCCAGAAUUUCCUCCAGUUUCUCCCUGCUACAAACCAGAGAGGAAGUAUCAUUAGUAGCAGACCAGGGCAGCCCCUGACACCUCAGGAGUGCCUAUGCAGUAACACUUGAGGAGGGGCUAGAGGUAAGACAGAAAGUACUUUUCAACAGUACUUAGGCCUCAGUGGGUCGGGGUCACCUGCUCAGAUUGGGAGGGGGAUGGAAUGUGGGCUCCAGUGUCAUGAAUUAAUAGUUGCUGAGCACUGCCACUCAAAAUAGAACAGCAGAAAGCAGUUCCUCUGUGGGGGGGAGGGGAGGGUAAAGGAGGGAGGAGGGUUCUAUUGGGUCCUGCUCACAGCUGCCGGGUAAAUAUAAACUUUAAUAGAAAUGCCAAUGGGCUACUCCUAAUAUUACAUCUAUUUAAAGAAAAGGACAGAUUUUCACAGUCAGUUUCUUCCAGCUCAGUUACUGAAGAUAAAGUCGCUUUUAUAAAGGAAACCCACCCUUGUCUCAACCAUGCAGUCCCCCCACCUCCAACUCUUCACCAAAACAAAUAGAAGUGGGAACUCCUGGCCAAUAGAUGCACAGUUCCCUGAUAACACUGCCACUUCAGACUUGCUUUCCUCCUGCCUGCCCUAAGGAUUUACCACUACUCAAGCCAUGUCUUUUCAUCUCUCUCCCUCCCCUGUCAUGCUGAAUAGCACUCUAUAGCAUUAAAGUAGGGCUUUAUGCAACAGUAUAAUUUUCAAGGAAGAAGACCCUUAUUCUUAAAGGAGGAGUAAAUAAAUCUGCCAGUGGGUCAUCUGGG
Molecule: long non-coding RNA, 1501 nt
Organism: Phascolarctos cinereus (koala)
Lineage: Eukaryota; Metazoa; Chordata; Mammalia; Diprotodontia; Phascolarctidae
Source: RefSeq, a predicted model, not a curated record